GAACGGAUGAGUCGCGGAGUCAAUCCGGUUUCGGUGCGUGUCCGGAAAUCUGCACCCCUGAGAUCACAAGAUCACACUGAAGAGUUUAGUUCAAGCGAUAAUGACUUUGGUUCUUCUACCAUGGCAGGAAGCCAGAAUCUGUGCCAUCUGACACCACCUCAAAAACAACUGGAAAUUAACAACAGAAGGCCAAUCAAAUUCCCUCAGUGAGCAGGUUCAACAUUCACCAAUGCUCUUAUGGUGGCGCAUAUGAUUGCAAGACUUGCUCCUGGGAAAGUGACAAUCACAUUGCAGUUUCUUGCCUUCGAUGCUGGGUGGCAAUCAGGCUCUACCUAGGAACUCGGCGACCGCCAUCAUGGACAGCGGGGUCGAGCGCAAGAGUGAGCUGAGGAGUCUCACACGUCUCGUCAGUGUUCUGAAGGCGAUGCCGUAUGAGGCUUCUGUAACAUCUGAACCGACGCCAAGUUGGGAGGGCUCCGAGCACUUUUCUUUGUUCUCUGAUGAACCCAAGGAGAAUCAGUCAGCAUGGCUGUAUGCUGGGGGCUUUUCUUCAAGCCCGGCAUAGAAUGUGGAUAAGUGUGCCAAGUAUGCAUGUGCAGGAACUCCUCCGUCCAAAAGACUGUUGCCCAUGCUAUGCCAACCGGGCAUAAGAUCCUUGCCAACAUUGUGAGCUGGGUAUCAAGGGAAGGCCUGGCUUUGUCACUCUAAGACGAGUCUUUGUUUAGUUCCUAACAGAGCUCCAGCAAAUGUUACUUUGCAGCUGAGGGGCGGACAGUAUGCUGAGGCUCUUAGUGUCGUUUUCUAUACUGCUCUUCCCGUUCAAUGUUGUAAUGAGAACGUUUCUCUGCUGAUUAUGGUGAUAAGAGCACGACAGCACCAGUGUUGCCUCAGUUACCUUGAAGAUGUUACUUAGUUACUUAUUACUUGACUUUGAAAGUAACUUAAGUUACUGAAUACCUGAUUUUAAAAGCAACAUAGAUAGCUAGAUAGCUAGAUAUGGAACCGAUCGAUCGAUCUUUAUUGAUCCCUGAGAGGAAAUUCAUUACAUAUAUAACAAAAUAAUAAUGUAUACAAAAUUGAUAAAACACAAUAAAAGUAAUUCUAAUCCUAAUUUGCUAACCAGAAACAGUUGUGGUUCCCUCUGUAUUUAUACCCAAAAUAAAAUUCCUGCUUGAAUUGGGGAAGAAAGCAAGUGUCUGAACAAGUGCAUUGUGAUAAAAAUUUGAAGCCCGAAGAGGUAACAAGAAGAGUGAGAGAAAUAAUACAAAAUAGUACAGCAAAAUACAGUUGUGAGACACUAUGGAAUAAAAUUAGCCAAUUGCAUAGUCA
Long non-coding RNA from Syngnathus acus (greater pipefish), 1329 nucleotides. RefSeq lists it as uncharacterized. The record is from RefSeq and is a predicted model, not a curated record. Lineage: Eukaryota; Metazoa; Chordata; Actinopteri; Syngnathiformes; Syngnathidae. The transcript is spliced from 3 exons.